Molecule: long non-coding RNA, 248 nt
Filed under: Brassica rapa (field mustard)
Lineage: Eukaryota; Viridiplantae; Streptophyta; Magnoliopsida; Brassicales; Brassicaceae
Description: long non-coding RNA (BRAP_LNC007834)
Source: RNAcentral
CAAAGAUUGAGCAUAUAUUUUUUUUAAAUAGUAGCCAACUUAGAAUAUUUCAAGAAAUUUCGCUUAAAAGUAUCAUAUUGGUGUAAAUAUAAAGACUAUCUAAUUAUAUAUGUAAUUAUACUGCUGAUUUUAUUUUAUAUAUUUAAAUUAGGAACUAAAUGGAGUGAAAUGGAGGGUUGAUCGCUAUGGUAACCCCGUAUGUUAUCAUCUCUCACGAGGAUCAGAUGCUCAUGUUUAUUAGUAUGAUC